Molecule: long non-coding RNA, 1489 nt
Organism: Bos taurus (domestic cattle)
Lineage: Eukaryota; Metazoa; Chordata; Mammalia; Artiodactyla; Bovidae
Source: Ensembl
GCUUAACAGGAGCUGACAGAUAAGGGGUAGGAGGCGUGGAGAAGUCAGCCAGCCUAAGAUUGCAUUUCUUAAUUCUGGACUGUACAGUAUAAUCAGCUUCCUUGAUGGUUCAGAGGCAAAGAAUCCACCUGCAAUGCUAGAGAUCAGGAUUUAAUCCCUGGGCUGGGAAGAUCCCAGAGGAGGAAAUGGCAACCCACUUCAGUAUUCUUCUCUGGAAAAUCCCAUGGCCAGAGGAGCCUGGCAGGCUGCAGUCCACGGGGGCAUGCAAGAGUGGGACACAACUGAGCACGGGAGCACUAGGGCACAGUGUAGUCACUUGAGAAUAUAUUUUAAAUUACUGAUUCAUAGUUCUAUCUUCUCUUCCUUCUUUCCACCUCUAAGAAAUUUCUAUUUGAUUAGUCUGAGAUAGGACCUGGGCAGGACUGUUAAGCAGUAACAAGUCUGGUUUAGUUUAAUUGGCCUAUAAUUGGUCUACGUAAAUGAUCAAGUGAACAUAAAAGUUCUUCUUGUUUCAGCACUAGAUACUCUAUGGUUGACUUGCAUGACGAGAAAAAUUAAAAAAGAAAUCUAAUCUGAGAUUUAUCAAUUGAGUUUCUGUGUAUAUGCUGUUUGUGGAUAUAUUCAAAUGAAUAACUGCUUCUGAAGUAUUGUUUUAUGAUCAUAUAAGGUUCAGAGUACAGGGUCUCCUUUCCUGCUUCUGGUUAAUUCCAUGCUGCACCUGCAGCACUCAAGAACCAGAAACCUCAUUCAUAUGACUGAAACUUCUCUCUGACCCGGGGAUAUUGCCUUGGGUCAUAUAAUCUCUUCUCCCUCUGUGUUUGUAGAAGGGACACAAAGAUAUUUCAAAAUCCUGCCAACACAACUCAGGACCAAGCUUAGACUUUCUCUGGGCCACAAGUGACUGACGUGAAACAUCUUUCUUCUUAAGAUGGUGACUUAUCCAAUAGAUCACUAUAGAAAAUCACCUAUGACGAAUGGAAAUCAUAAAGAGGGAUUGGGGGCAGGAGGAGAAGGGGAUGACAGAGGAUGAGAUGGCUGGAUGGCAUCACCAACUGGAUGCACAAUUUCCCCCCAGAGUAAAUGACAUAGACACUUUCCCUGCAAUUCAACUACUCUACCUCUUAGUGACGUUCUUUAUUAUUGGAGUAUCCUGGAGGGAAUAUCACAAAAAUGAAAACAUGAAGAAAGAAAAAGGUAUGUUACCUUCAUCCAUGUACAAAGAUUUGACUAAUAACCUAAUUGAUUCUAAUUCUUAAUUCAUUUGUAAGUUGUAUAAAUUUAUUGGAAAUAAAUGAGCUUAUCUAAUCUUUUAUUAAGAGAAAGAAGUAAAAGGACAAUUUAUCUCCUCCCAAAUGGAAAAUAAAUAAUUGAAGAAAAGUCAGACCUGAUUUAUAUAAAAGCUAUGUUCUUGGUACAUUGGCAUUAUGUAAAAUGGAAUUUUGUCCAUAAAAGAAUUACUAUUCAUUUCUCUGUAAUUUUAUUUGUGAAU